UCUCUGAUAGCUCAGUUGGUAAAAGAAUCUGCCUGCAAUGCAGGAGACCCUGGUUCGAUUCCUGGGUCAAGAA
RNAcentral lists this transfer RNA (73 nucleotides) under Bos taurus (domestic cattle). It matches the Rfam family "tRNA". From Rfam's summary of the family: Transfer RNA (tRNA) molecules are approximately 80 nucleotides in length. Their secondary structure includes four short double-helical elements and three loops (D, anti-codon, and T loops). The record is from Rfam by way of RNAcentral. Lineage: Eukaryota; Metazoa; Chordata; Mammalia; Artiodactyla; Bovidae. RNAcentral also lists the same sequence under 2 other names.